This 506-nucleotide long non-coding RNA is filed under the name Elaeis guineensis (African oil palm). RNAcentral's name for it is "long non-coding RNA (EGUI_LNC026634)". The record is from RNAcentral. Lineage: Eukaryota; Viridiplantae; Streptophyta; Magnoliopsida; Arecales; Arecaceae.
CUGUUGAGGCGGGGCCGUUUAAACGGUUGCCAAUUCUUAUCAUUGUGUUCGACAAGUAAACCAUUGGAACCAAAAGCUUGAAUAUCCAUGCGAAUAGAGUGCCAGAACUGAGUCUUUUGCCAAUCAAACCUGUGGAUAAGGUCUUGAAAUCUGUGACACCAGCCAAGGAUAUCCCGACGCACCCUUACAAUAGCUCCUGUAUUGCAAUGCUCCUUAGUGCAAUUGAAAAUAUAAUAGCUAAUUAGUUGCCUUGGGCCGAGUACCCUGGCCUCCCUUGGAGCCUCCAUGGUGGAGCCAUGGACAAGUGGCCAACGACCAAAAAGAAGAAAGAGCUUUGGAUCCCCUAUUUUUCGAGCCUAUUUCCCAUGAUCUUUUAGUGCUCGAUCCUCGCCGUUGGCCACCCAUGCAUCGCCGCUUACCACCACCCACCAUCAGUCAUGCAUCGCCACCUAUUGCCGAUCCUCUGGUGACUAGCCGCCAACCACCUUCCUCUCUGUUUGGCCAAA